UAGAUACAUUUCAUUUAAUGACCAAAAUUAUGUGAAGUAUUCUCUCUUGCUUUUUGAUUCAGCAUGAACAAGGCGCUUAUAUGAACUUGUUAGAAAAUCAUUAUCCUGCUGCAGAAGUUUAUUUCUCCGUUCUAGACUUCUAAGCCGCACUUCAAUUUCUGCCAUCUGACUGUGGCAGCUUCUCUGAGCAUGUAUUAGUGUUUUCAUUCGUUGAUGGUACUCUUCCUCCAAGAGUCCUCUUGAAUUUUCAAUUUCAAUAUAACAUUUGCGGAUAUCAGAGAGUUUUUUGGAGAGAUCUUGAAAUUCUUUGCUGUUUUUAGCACAAUGAACCUUGAAAAAUAAAAACAUUGAAAAAAUAUGAUGUAUUCUUACCACUCAUGGUUAUAUGGAAAGAGAAAUUGUAAUUGGU
RNAcentral lists this small RNA (409 nucleotides) under Histoplasma capsulatum. RNAcentral's name for it is "hypothetical RNA". The record is from RNAcentral. RNAcentral also lists the same sequence under 1 other name. Lineage: Eukaryota; Fungi; Ascomycota; Eurotiomycetes; Onygenales; Ajellomycetaceae.